AGUGAACGCUGGCGGUAGGCCUAACACAUGCAAGUCGAACGGCAGCACAGUAAGAGCUUGCUCUUACGGGUGGCGAGUGGCGGACGGGUGAGGAAUACAUCGGAAUCUACUUUUUCGUGGGGGAUAACGUAGGGAAACUUACGCUAAUACCGCAUACGACCUACGGGUGAAAGCAGGGGAUCUUCGGACCUUGCGCGAUUGAAUGAGCGGAUGUCGGAUUAGCUAGUUGGCGGGGUAAAGGCCCGCCAAGGCGACGAUCCGUAGCUGGUCUGAGAGGAUGAUCAGCCACACUGGAACUGAGACACGGUCCAGACUCCUACGGGAGGCAGCAGUGGGGAAUAUUGGACAAUGGGCGCAAGCCUGAUCCAGCCAUACCGCGUGGGUGAAGAAGGCCUUCGGGUUGUAAAGCCCUUUUGUUGGGAAAGAAAAGCAGCAGGUUAAUACCCCGCUGUUCUGACGGUACCCAAAGAAUAAGCACCGGCUAACUUCGUG
RNAcentral lists this ribosomal RNA (492 nucleotides) under uncultured bacterium. Its description in RNAcentral is "partial 16S ribosomal RNA". It matches the Rfam family "Bacterial small subunit ribosomal RNA", at positions 29 to 507 of the family's 1533-position model. The record is from RNAcentral.